RNAcentral lists this ribosomal RNA (468 nucleotides) under uncultured bacterium. RNAcentral's name for it is "partial 16S ribosomal RNA". It matches the Rfam family "Bacterial small subunit ribosomal RNA", at positions 28 to 507 of the family's 1533-position model. The record is from RNAcentral.
GACGAACGCUGGCGGCGUGCUUAACACAUGCAAGUCGAACGGAAAGGCCCUGCUUUUGUGGGGUGCUCGAGUGGCGAACGGGUGAGUAACACGUGAGUAACCUGCCCUUGACUUUGGGAUAACUUCAGGAAACUGGGGCUAAUACCGGAUAGGAGCUCCUGCUGCAUGGUGGGGGUUGGAAAGUUUCGGCGGUUGGGGAUGGACUCGCGGCUUAUCAGCUUGUUGGUGGGGUAGUGGCUUACCAAGGCUUUGACGGGUAGCCGGCCUGUGAGGGUGACCGGCCACAUUGGGACUGAGGUACGGCCCAGACUCCUACGGGAGGCAGCAGUGGGGAAUAUUGCACAAUGGGCGGAAGCCUGAUGCAGCAACGCCGCGUGCGGGAUGACGGCCUUCGGGUUGUAAACCGCUUUCGCCAGUGACGAAGCGAAAGUGACGGUACCGGAAGAAGAAGCACCGGCUAACUACGUG